GCUCCCGAUCCAACUCCCUCCCGAGAAAAUUCAUCCCCUCCGGCCUUGACUCGGCCUCCUCUCCUAUGCCACUCGCCUUCUCCACAGCCGCCCGCCCACAGGUUGUCCGCCGCCGCUUCGAGGGCUAGCAUCCCCGCGUCCCUCCUUCGUUCCAGUACCCGAUUGGACUGCACGAGUGCCCCCACCGCACCAUCAGGGGGCACCGCGGGAGUACAGCCACCGCACCACCAGGGCACUACCACCGCGUGUGCCGGCGAUGCGUGAGCCGCCGCUUGUGCGGCACCGAUUGCCGCUUCCAACGAUGCAGGAGCCACUCAAUCCAGCGAGGAUGCUGGGCGCUGUCACCACUGAUUCUCAGGGUGUGCGUGCCGCAUCCGAAACUCCCCUAAUGUGCUCCUCCACUCCGCUUAUAACAUGUCGUUCAUCCAUGGCUCUCUGUUGCUAUGCGCCGUUGAGCUCUGGAGCCACUGCCGUCGAAGCCCAUCGCCAGCCGUCCUCGGGUGGGCCGACGCCCAAACUCGGCUCCAGUGACAUCCCCGCUAGAGGUCCUCCUCCACCUCUUCUUCUAUUAGAGGUGUUGUCAAGAAUUUCAUCGCACCCACUGCUUUCCCUCCGAGGUAGUUGCCGCCUGCAGCCAUGCACAAGUGUCAUCACCUGCAUCUCCUCUGUGUGUUCCCGUCUCUCCAUGCCGCACGAGGAUGCAGUCAUCACAUCUGUGAGUAGUGAUGUUAACCCCAUAAAAAGGACCGCAGGUGGACAUCUGCUAUAAAUAAUCAGGUACUUCUUUCUCAUUAUCAAAGUGAAAUGCUCAGUGAAACUAUCCAAUGGAUGGACUGGUUAUUUAACACUGAAUGAUCAGAGCUUUAUUCUCUUCUUUUCUCCUCUUCCAUCCACUAAAACAUCUGCAUUGCAUGCUUCUUACUUCUCUGAGUGCUUAAACAUAAAUAAGAAAACCGAAUUCUCUAUGGGCAUGAAUAAUCUUUCGAUUCAAACAGAAAAAUCAAAAUGUGGUUCCAGUUCCGGGAGGUAUGGCGUGGUUUCUUUGCCGGCAUGUGCAUGUGUUGUUUGUCUGUUGCCGGGUGGAUUGCACAGUGGUGGUGCCGGGAGCCAGGGGUCAUCAGAGAAGAGAGAUGCUGACGUCACUCAAAACGAGCCUUGCUUGGCAUUGACUGAAUCCUCCACACAUUAUUUGUUGGCAAUUGAGCCUUGCUUGGCACGUGCUUGGCAUUGACUGAAUCAUACAGUGGCGAGCUUGUAUCCCGGCCAACCUCUUCAUCUUGAUUUUUUAGAAGCUAACUCACUUCAAAAGGAGGCCUGGAUUACCUUAUAUUCAGCAUUGAUCACACAGACUAGAUUUUUUUAAGAUGGAAAAGUCUGACAAUUGAAAACCUAUCCGAGAAUCAUGCUUGUUUGUGUGCUGCAAUUUGCACCUAGAGAGGUCUCCUGCCAUAUACGCUCGCCGAGAUCUUUGUCGUAGUCAUUAGGACGCGGGAUGGCAUUGUCGGGAUACACGCUCGCCAAGGUCUCCUGCCAUAUAGGCCCGUGAGAGAUCCAGGGCGUGUUACUCUGCAGCAUCAUGACCACAAUGGUGCCUUGGUUUUGAAAAUACAAUUUGAAUGGCAUCACAACAUUUAAUAGACAUUUUUUUUUCAACAGUUGCUUUAUUUUUUAUACCGUGUGAAUCUCCCUUGGUUAACGCUUGAGACGUGUGUUACACAUGAUUAAUUUUUCGCGACUUAUUGUUGUUGCUGUUGCCCGUGAGGUACUUGAAAAAAUUCUCGGCAUGUGGCGCUCUUCAAUGACGUGUUCUCUUUUGAAGAGCAAGCAGACAAAGCAUGAGAGCGCUAUGAUCCUACAAAUUCUUGACUGCUUCUAUACCCGUGUAUUUGUUUUAUCUUUUAUUUUUGACUUAUUUUAUUCUCUUGAGUACUCCCUCCGUUCCGAAUUACUUGUCUUAGAUUUGUCUAGAUACGGAGGUAUCUAGCACUAAAAUGAGUCUAGAUACAUCCGUAUCUAGACAAAUCCAAGACAAGUAAUUCGGAACGGAGGGAGUACUACAUAAGAGGUGUCUUUGCAGAGCUUAAGAACGAUUUAUGGGUUGGAGCACACUAAUACUGUAUUGAAAAGGGAUAGACAGCCAACCAGGUAUGCAGUUAUACGCCUUUUGUUCCAUGUGGUUAUCAAAGUAAUUGAUGCCAUUUAUUACCGUAAUCCUAUCACAUGAUAUAUUCUUAACAAAGGAUUUGAUGCCAUAUUUUUUACCUUAAUCCUAUAAUAAGACAGUCUUAUUUUCUGGUCAUGGAAUGAGAGCUUGCAGCUUAUACAUGAUGUCUUGCAAGCCUUGCAAUUUUUAUGGACAUUUUUUAUAAGUGGUUGGAAUUUUUACUGACAUGUUCUCAAGAUAUUCAUAUUGCGCUCUUGCUGCCUCUUGAUUUUAUAUGUUUAGAGUAAUGCCCAUCCAUCAUGUUAAAGGAAUUUCUCUGGUGCUAAAUCAAUCCCAAAUAAAUGUUACCAAUGUGUAAAAAAAAUCUGAUUAUGUUCUUUUAAGUUUCUUUUGAAUAUGAUUGUUAUCCCCAUUUCUAGACUGUUGACACUGCCCUAUUACAUGUACAGUGGUAGACUUCCCUUUUUGAUUGACUCUGGAUCUAAAGAAGUAUAAGCAUGUAGAGGAACUGGUGGUCCACCUUGCUACUCCAAAUGGACAGCCUGAUUUUAUCCAUGUGUUGGACUAAAUGAUAUUUGAUGAUUUGAGCCUUGCACCGGUAGGGUUUCCACAACACUAGGUAUGAUCUAAACAAUGGCUGAAAAUAUUUAUUGGAGCAUUUGUUUCAAACAAAUUUGUUGAAAGACAUUUCAAAUAUUUUAGUGCUUGUGAUAUAUUUUA
Triticum aestivum (bread wheat) is the source of this 2884-nucleotide long non-coding RNA. RefSeq lists it as uncharacterized. The transcript has 3 exons. NCBI's taxonomy places the organism in Eukaryota, Viridiplantae, Streptophyta, Magnoliopsida, Poales, Poaceae. The record is from RefSeq and is a predicted model, not a curated record.